GCAACAAACGAAUGUCACUAAUGGGGCUGCCUGGGCCGUGGUCACUGACCGUGCAGAGGUAGCUGCAAAGGCCUUUCUCUGGGUUUGCAGGGUCCAUUCCUGUCCUUGUUCAGCGCUGAAACUUUUCCAAG
Molecule: small nucleolar RNA, 131 nt
Filed under: Peromyscus maniculatus bairdii (prairie deer mouse)
Lineage: Eukaryota; Metazoa; Chordata; Mammalia; Rodentia; Cricetidae
Description: Small nucleolar RNA SNORA71 (ENSPEMG00000004088.2)
Source: RNAcentral